Molecule: transfer RNA, 73 nt
Filed under: Fuerstiella sp.
Lineage: Bacteria; Pseudomonadati; Planctomycetota; Planctomycetia; Planctomycetales; Planctomycetaceae
Description: tRNA-Ala
Rfam family: tRNA
About the family: Transfer RNA (tRNA) molecules are approximately 80 nucleotides in length. Their secondary structure includes four short double-helical elements and three loops (D, anti-codon, and T loops).
Source: RNAcentral
GGGGGAUUAGCUCAGUUGGGAGAGCGGCGGGCUGGCAGCCAGAAGGUCAUGGGUUCGAGUCCCUUAUCCUCCA